CGUCGUGGGUGGCCAAACUGUAACCUUUGUCCCCUAUGCAAGCAGGUUCAAGAGUCGGCGGUCCACCUUCUAUUCCAAUGCAGAUACACUAUAAGAGUUUGGCGCAUGAUCAAAGAUUGACUGGAUCUCCAUGAUGUGCAUCCUUCUGAUUGGAGUGACACGACUUUCGUUAAAAAGUGGUGGAGCCAUAAUGCUACCAAGAAGACCCAAUCACGAAGACGACUUGCUUCCUUGAUGCUUCUUAUCUCUUGGAAGUUGUGGAAUGGGAGGAAUGCGCGGAUCUUUCGUAAUACCGCCGGCCCAGUUGGAGUCAUAUCGCUAGGACUGAAGAGGAGACGUUGCUUUGGAUCAUGGCGGGCGCGAGGCACUUGA
RNAcentral lists this ribosomal RNA (372 nucleotides) under Triticum aestivum (bread wheat). RNAcentral's name for it is "partial small subunit ribosomal RNA". The record is from RNAcentral. Lineage: Eukaryota; Viridiplantae; Streptophyta; Magnoliopsida; Poales; Poaceae.